This 496-nucleotide ribosomal RNA is filed under the name uncultured bacterium. RNAcentral's name for it is "partial 16S ribosomal RNA". It matches the Rfam family "Bacterial small subunit ribosomal RNA", at positions 29 to 507 of the family's 1533-position model. The record is from RNAcentral.
AUGAACGCUGGCGGCGUGCCUAAUACAUUCAAGUCGAGCGAACGGACGAGAAGCUUGCUUCUCUGAUGUUAGCGGCGGACGGGUGAUUAACACGUGGAUAACCUACCUAUAAGACUGGGAUAACUUCGGGAAACCGGAGCUAAUACCGGAUAAUAUUUUGAACCGCAUGGUUCAAAAGUAAAAGACGGUCUUGCUGUCACUUAUAGAUGGAUCCGCGCUGCAUUAGCUAGUUGGUAAGGUAACGGCUUACCAAGGCAACGAUGCAUAGCCGACCUGAGAGGGUGAUCGGCCACACUGGAACGGAGACACGGUCCAGACUACUACGGGAGGCAGCAGUAGGGAAUCUUCCGCAAUGGGCGAAAGCCUGACGGAGCAACGCCGCGUGAGUGAUGAAGGUCUUCGGAUCGUAAAACUCUGUUAUUAGGGAAGAACAUAUGUGUAAGUAACUGUGCACAUCUUGACGGUAACUAAUCAGAAAGCAACGGCUAACUACGUG